AUAUCCCUGCGGUGCGCGUUGGAAACUUGAUAAUAUUUGAACCAACAUGAAUAUCAAGGGAGCCCGCCAUUCCUUUAGCGUUCGCGCUAAGAGAUAGGGCACCCACCUGAAACCAAAUGGUUCAGAUGUCAGUCCAACGGCACAGGCGGGGAUUUU
RNAcentral lists this non-coding RNA (156 nucleotides) under Candidatus Omnitrophota bacterium. Its description in RNAcentral is "6S RNA". It matches the Rfam family "6S / SsrS RNA". Rfam says of the family: E. coli 6S RNA was the first non coding RNA to be sequenced, but its function was unknown until recently. It consists of 184 nucleotides that fold into an extended hairpin structure with a large single-stranded internal bulge. The record is from RNAcentral. Lineage: Bacteria; Pseudomonadati; Candidatus Omnitrophota.